GUCUAGGGUUUCUGAAUCACCCUUGCGCUGUACACCCUCCAUGUGCGCCCUCGGCGGGAGCUCCGCUCGAAGGACGGCUCCCCUGACAUCGCUUGCACCAAAAUGGCAAGCUUCUUCCCCGUUGACCCCCUAGACCUGCAAAACAGAAGCAAAAAGAGAGCAAAGCAGCAGAGGCAAAACGAAAUAGUAACAAACAGUAAACAAAAGCCAUUGUAUUCAGCUAUAAAGAGGCCUAAAACAAACAAUGUAGUUUUUUACGCAUACAAUAAAUCAAAAAACUUUGAAAGAGAUCGGAUUCAAACCCUAAAGGUUAUUCCUUUUCUUUGUUUUUCUAUUUUUCAUUUUCGUUCCAUUUUAAAACAGUAAUAAUAAUAAUAAUAAUAAUAUUAGAAAUCAUACCUGUUGAUUCACAUCCCCGCGUCGAACGCUGCCGAUAUUCGAACACCUAAGAACUCACGGGGUUCUGUCGAGGGUUCAAAAGGCGGUGGAGGCCACCGUGCUCUUGCAUGCUAUUUCUCAUCUAUUUUCUCAACCAAAACAUUUUUUAAAAGUAUUUUUUGGGGUCUUUUAAAAGAAAAAAAAGGGGAAUAGAAGGAGAUUAAAAGACCCGAUUUUGGGCACCUCCAGCCGCCGCGUAUGGCGGAGCCACGGCUGGUGUGCACCGGUGCUUGGCCAGGUUCUGGGUUGAAACCCAGAGAGAAAAACCCCCUCAUUUCCCUUCCUUUUUUUCUAAAUUAUGGAGAGAAUGAAAAUUAAAAAAAAAAUCUUGCUUUUAUAGAUUGGUUAAAUGACGUUGUAUAAGGCCUAGACCAAUGGCCAUAAAACGGCGCCAUUUAGGCAGCAUUGCCCGACCCGACCCGUGAACUGCCUAGGAUCCGCGCAUUCUCGGACUGAGGGUAUAUUUGCACCCUCAGUCCUUCUUCUUUUGAGGCUUAGUUCAAUAGGGUCCUAUCUUGCUUUUUCUUAUUUCUAAUUUUACCCCUGAAAUUUUAUUUACUAUUUCGUUCUGAUCCCUAAUGAAAUUGCGCAUUUUGGGGAGUGGGUUUAUUACCCACCUGGUCCCCCAUUUCAUCCGCACGUCACAAUUUGGGCCUAACACUUUAUUUUAAUUCUGUUUGAUUUCGAUUUACCCCUUUUUCUUAUUUUCGUUCAUGAUUUUAUCCCAAAUCUCUUUUCUUGUUUUCGUUCAUGAUUUUAUCCCAAAUCUCUAAUUGAAUUUUUGAUUAAGUCCUUUUUGUUUGUUUAUUUAUUCGUUCAUCUAUUUAUUGGUUUAUAUAUAUCCAUUGUUCAUUUAUUUAUUAAUGUACAUUACUAGUUUAUGUUAUUGGAAUCAUUUCAUAAUUCCUUUAUUUCUUUCCGAUUUUCGAUUACCUUCGUUAUUAUUAUUUUAUUAUCUAUUAUUGUUCUAUUAUUUAUUCAUUCAUCAUUCAUUCAUUUUUUUAAUCAUUUUAUUUCAUAAAUUACUCAUUCUAUUUAUAUUUUCAUUAUUAUUGAUGUUGGAUUUUUUAUUUUAUUAAUGUUAUGAUGAUUAUACUAUUAAACUAAUUUAGUUAAUGUUUAAUAUCUAUUUGUUUGUUUAUUCAUUUAUUCAUUAUUAUUUUUAUAGAUUGGAUUUAUUUUUAUUCCUACCCUCG
Molecule: long non-coding RNA, 1634 nt
Filed under: Gossypium barbadense (sea-island cotton)
Lineage: Eukaryota; Viridiplantae; Streptophyta; Magnoliopsida; Malvales; Malvaceae
Description: long non-coding RNA (GBAR_LNC008378)
Source: RNAcentral